CCUACGGGAGGCAGCAGUGGGGAAUAUUGGACAAUGGGCGAAAGCCUGAUCCAGCCAUGCCGCGUGUGUGAAGAAGGCCUUCGGGUUGUAAAGCACUUUCAGUGGGGAAGAAAGCCUUGGGGCUAAUACCCUCGAGGAAGGACAUCACCCACAGAAGAAGCACCGGCUAACUCCGUGCCAGCAGCCGCGGUAAUACGGAGGGUGCGAGCGUUAAUCGGAAUUACUGGGCGUAAAGCGCGCGUAGGCGGUCUGAUAAGCCGGUUGUGAAAGCCCCGGGCUCAACCUGGGAACGGCAUCCGGAACUGUCAGGCUAGAGUGCAGGAGAGGAAGGUAGAAUUCCCGGUGUAGCGGUGAAAUGCGUAGAGAUCGGGAGGAAUACCAGUGGCGAAGGCGGCCUUCUGGACUGACACUGACGCUGAGGUGCGAAAGCGUGGGUAGCAAACAGGAUUAGAUACCCUUAGUAGUC
RNAcentral lists this ribosomal RNA (466 nucleotides) under Vreelandella stevensii. RNAcentral describes it as "partial 16S ribosomal RNA". It matches the Rfam family "Bacterial small subunit ribosomal RNA", at positions 338 to 795 of the family's 1533-position model. The record is from RNAcentral. Lineage: Bacteria; Pseudomonadati; Pseudomonadota; Gammaproteobacteria; Oceanospirillales; Halomonadaceae.